RNAcentral lists this ribosomal RNA (482 nucleotides) under uncultured Klebsiella sp. RNAcentral's name for it is "bacterial SSU rRNA". It matches the Rfam family "Bacterial small subunit ribosomal RNA", at positions 24 to 497 of the family's 1533-position model. Lineage: Bacteria; Pseudomonadati; Pseudomonadota; Gammaproteobacteria; Enterobacterales; Enterobacteriaceae. The record is from RNAcentral.
UCAGAUUGAACGCUGGCGGCAGGCCUAACACAUGCAAGUCGAGCGGUAGCACAGAGAGCUUGCUCUCGGGUGACGAGCGGCGGACGGGUGAGUAAUGUCUGGGAAACUGCCUGAUGGAGGGGGAUAACUACUGGAAACGGUAGCUAAUACCGCAUAACGUCGCAAGACCAAAGUGGGGGACCUUCGGGCCUCAUGCCAUCAGAUGUGCCCAGAUGGGAUUAGCUAGUAGGUGGGGUAAUGGCUCACCUAGGCGACGAUCCCUAGCUGGUCUGAGAGGAUGACCAGCCACACUGGAACUGAGACACGGUCCAGACUCCUACGGGAGGCAGCAGUGGGGAAUAUUGCACAAUGGGCGCAAGCCUGAUGCAGCCAUGCCGCGUGUAUGAAGAAGGCCUUCGGGUUGUAAAGUACUUUCAGCGAGGAGGAAGGCAUUAAGGUUAAUAACCUUAGUGAUUGACGUUACUCGCAGAAGAAGCACCGGC